RNAcentral lists this ribosomal RNA (716 nucleotides) under uncultured organism. RNAcentral describes it as "SSU rRNA". It matches the Rfam family "Bacterial small subunit ribosomal RNA", at positions 32 to 727 of the family's 1533-position model. The record is from RNAcentral.
AACGCUGGCGGCGUGCCUAAUACAUGCAAGUCGAGCGGAUCAAAUCGGAGCUUGCUCUGAUUUGGUCAGCGGCGGACGGGUGAGUAACACGUGGGCAACCUGCCCGCAAGACCGGGAUAACUCCGGGAAACCGGAGCUAAUACCGGAUAACACCGAAGACCGCAUGGUCUUUGGUUGAAAGGCGGCCUUUGGCUGUCACUUGCGGAUGGGCCCGCGGCGCAUUAGCUAGUUGGUGAGGUAACGGCUCACCAAGGCGACGAUGCGUAGCCGGCCUGAGAGGGUGACCGGCCACACUGGGACUGAGACACGGCCCAGACUCCUACGGGAGGCAGCAGUAGGGAAUCUUCCGCAAUGGGCGAAAGCCUGACGGAGCGACGCCGCGUGAGCGAAGAAGGCCUUCGGGUCGUAAAGCUCUGUUGUGAGGGACGAAGGAGCGCCGUUCGAAGAGGGCGGCGCGGUGACGGUACCUCACGAGGAAGCCCCGGCUAACUACGUGCCAGCAGCCGCGGUAAUACGUAGGGGGCGAGCGUUGUCCGGAAUUAUUGGGCGUAAAGCGCGCGCAGGCGGUUCCUUAAGUCUGAUGUGAAAGCCCACGGCUCAACCGUGGAGGGUCAUUGGAAACUGGGGGACUUGAGUGCAGGAGAGGAGAGCGGAAUUCCACGUGUAGCGGUGAAAUGCGUAGAGAUGUGGAGGAACACCAGUGGCGAAGGCGGCUC